Molecule: long non-coding RNA, 256 nt
Filed under: Lathyrus oleraceus (garden pea)
Lineage: Eukaryota; Viridiplantae; Streptophyta; Magnoliopsida; Fabales; Fabaceae
Description: Pisum sativum (pea) long non-coding RNA (PSAT_LNC015955)
Source: RNAcentral
AAGCAUCAAGAUUAAUAUCCAAUUAAUGUAACUAAAUCCAAAUUAACAAAGCCAGGCCUCUUUAAGCAGAAUCGAUUGGGCUUUGCACCAGGAGGUCCAACAGCCUUAGGUCCAAGGCCUGGAGGUGUGGAUAGUGAAAUGCAUUGCAGCAUUGCUUGGUCCAUAACCAAUCCACUAUACUGUAUCUAUUGAAAGCAAGUAACAAAAAUGAAAAAGAAACAGAAAAGCGCUUAUUCAAACGCGCUUAUUCACAAGC